GACGAACGCUGGCGGCGUGCUUAACACAUGCAAGUCGAACGGAAAGGCCCCCACUUUUUUGGUGGGGGUGCUCGAGUGGCGAACGGGUGAGUAACACGUGGGUGAUCUGCCCUGUACUUCGGGAUAAGCUUGGGAAACUGGGUCUAAUACCGGAUAGGACCAUGGUUUAGUGUCUCAUGGUGGAAAAAUUAUUGUUUUGGUGCAGGAUGAGCUCGCGGCCUAUCAGCUUGUUGGUGGGGUAAUGGCCUACCAAGGCGUCGACGGGUAGCCGGCCUGAGAGGGUGGACGGCCACAUUGGGACUGAGAGACGGCCCAGACUCCUACGGGAGGCAGCAGUGGGGAAUAUUGCACAAUGGGCGCAAGCCUGAUGCAGCGACGCCGCGUGGGGGAUGACGGCCUUCGGGUUGUAAACUCCUUUCGUUAGGGACGAAGCCGCACCUUUUUUGGGUGUGGUGACGGUACCUUUGUGAAGAAGCACCGGCUAACUACGUG
This 492-nucleotide ribosomal RNA is filed under the name uncultured bacterium. RNAcentral describes it as "partial 16S ribosomal RNA". It matches the Rfam family "Bacterial small subunit ribosomal RNA", at positions 28 to 507 of the family's 1533-position model. The record is from RNAcentral.